RNAcentral lists this ribosomal RNA (563 nucleotides) under Saccharomyces cerevisiae (brewer's yeast). Its description in RNAcentral is "partial large subunit ribosomal RNA". It matches the Rfam family "Eukaryotic large subunit ribosomal RNA", at positions 48 to 613 of the family's 3401-position model. Lineage: Eukaryota; Fungi; Ascomycota; Saccharomycetes; Saccharomycetales; Saccharomycetaceae. The record is from RNAcentral.
UAGCGGAGGAAAAGAAACCAACCGGGAUUGCCUUAGUAACGGCGAGUGAAGCGGCAAAAGCUCAAAUUUGAAAUCUGGUACCUUCGGUGCCCGAGUUGUAAUUUGGAGAGGGCAACUUUGGGGCCGUUCCUUGUCUAUGUUCCUUGGAACAGGACGUCAUAGAGGGUGAGAAUCCCGUGUGGCGAGGAGUGCGGUUCUUUGUAAAGUGCCCUCGAAGAGUCGAGUUGUUUGGGAAUGCAGCUCUAAGUGGGUGGUAAAUUCCAUCUAAAGCUAAAUAUUGGCGAGAGACCGAUAGCGAACAAGUACAGUGAUGGAAAGAUGAAAAGAACUUUGAAAAGAGAGUGAAAAAGUACGUGAAAUUGUUGAAAGGGAAGGGCAUUUGAUCAGACAUGGUGUUUUGUGCCCUCUGCUCCUUGUGGGUAGGGGAAUCUCGCAUUUCACUGGGCCAGCAUCAGUUUUGGUGGCAGGAUAAAUCCAUAGGAAUGUAGCUUGCCUCGGUAAGUAUUAUAGCCUGUUGGGAAUACUGCCAGCUGGGACUGAGGACUGCGACGUAAGUCAAGGAU